UACGUAGGGGGCAAGCGUUGUCCGGAGUUACUGGGCGUAAAGCGCACGCAGGCGGUCUCUUAAGUUUGGAGUGACAGUUGGUGGCUUAACUGCCAAAGUGCUUCGAAAACUGAGAGACUUGAGGGCUUCAGAGGGACACGGAAUUCCGGGUGGAGUGGUGAAAUGCGUAGAGAUCCGGAGGAACGCCAAAGGCGAAGGCAGUGUCCUGGGGAGUACCUGACGCUCAGGUGCGAAAGCCAGGGGAGCGAACGGG
RNAcentral lists this ribosomal RNA (253 nucleotides) under uncultured bacterium. Its description in RNAcentral is "partial 16S ribosomal RNA". It matches the Rfam family "Bacterial small subunit ribosomal RNA", at positions 524 to 776 of the family's 1533-position model. The record is from RNAcentral.